Non-coding RNA from Oncorhynchus mykiss (rainbow trout), 938 nucleotides. The record is from RefSeq and is a predicted model, not a curated record. NCBI's taxonomy places the organism in Eukaryota, Metazoa, Chordata, Actinopteri, Salmoniformes, Salmonidae.
UGGCAUUGAAAGGAGUGGCCAGCCAGUAAUCAAUGUAUGAGGAUGGCCAGGCUAACAAUGCCAUUGAUGGCAACAGAGAAUCAAACUAUCACAAAAUAUCCUGCACACACACUGAACAGGAGACCAACCCCUGGUGGAGAGUGGACCUGCUGGAUCUGUACAGAGUGACAGCUGUCACCAUCACCAACAGAGGAGAUGUUGUUCCUGAGAGACUUGAUGGUGAUACAUAGACAUCUGUGGAAUUAUGUGUUGUCAUCUCCCACAUCCCAGCAGGAGAGACCAACACGUUCCAGUGUAAUGAGAUGGACGGUCGCUAUGUUGUUGUUGUGAUCCCUGGACAGAACAAGAUUCUCACUCUGUGUGAGGUGGAAGUUUACGGCCUUCCUGCAGGUAUCAUCAGGGUUUCUACCACGUAAUUGCUGAACACAUCGCAUGUGACAUCACAGGAUCCAUCUUGUUGUGAAAUAAGUAGGACAAGUGUUGUUGCCAAAGUUAGAAUGAACUCACUGUCACUCAAUUUUUUUGUAUUUUUUUUAUAGCUUUUUCUACUAUUUCUGCUAUUUUUUCAUAUAAGUGUGUCCUGUAUUCAUGACGUCCUCAUUGGCCCGAUACUUCCCCAACAAGUUACACCCACAUCAAACUACACCCCCAAGCCAACUCAAGUUUGGUUCCUGUCAUGGCCGCCAGCAUUUCUUGAGGUGCAAGCCAAAAAACAUGGCCAAAUCAGCUGUUGCAGUUCCCCUUCAACCUUUUAUCUAGUUGUUUUCUAGACGUCUCCUGGUUCUGUAUGUUUAUAGUGUUCUAUGUGUGUUUUCUUUCUUUCCCACUUCUCAGCUGUAAUGCUCUCUUUUUGAGUGUGGGUUCCUUAUACUUUAUCUUGCUUUAUCUUGGCCAGGUCGCAGUUGUAAAUUAGAACUUGUUCUCAACCCGCAUACCUG